This 312-nucleotide long non-coding RNA is filed under the name Salvia miltiorrhiza (redroot sage). Its description in RNAcentral is "long non-coding RNA (SMIL_LNC013897)". The record is from RNAcentral. Lineage: Eukaryota; Viridiplantae; Streptophyta; Magnoliopsida; Lamiales; Lamiaceae.
CAAACACUGAACGAUUAUUACAGUUUUCAUAGUACAACCCGGAAGACUUUUUAUUUUAUUCAAUCACCUACCUCUCCACCACACUAAUCUUUUUCCCUACCACCACUAAUAUUUUCUUUUCCCUACCACUAAUCUUUUUCCCUACCACCACUAAUAUUUUCUUUUCCCUACCACUAAUCUUUUUCCCUACCACCACUAAUUUGUUUUCAUACCACUACGCUUUGUAAAAAAAAAAAAAAAGCUUUUAGUCAUGCCCUUAUAUCCUUACUUCUCUCUGCACAACCAAAGUUGGAAUUCAUAGAAGCCUUUAAG